GGGGAUUUAGCUCAGUGGCAUAGCGCCUGCCUUGCAAGCAGGAAGUCGUGAGUUCGAUCCCCG
RNAcentral lists this transfer RNA (63 nucleotides) under Cavia porcellus (domestic guinea pig). It matches the Rfam family "tRNA", at positions 1 to 62 of the family's 71-position model. Rfam says of the family: Transfer RNA (tRNA) molecules are approximately 80 nucleotides in length. Their secondary structure includes four short double-helical elements and three loops (D, anti-codon, and T loops). Further hydrogen bonds mediate the characteristic L-shaped molecular structure. tRNAs have two regions of fundamental functional importance: the anti-codon, which is responsible for specific mRNA codon recognition, and the 3' end, to which the tRNAs corresponding amino acid is attached (by aminoacyl-tRNA synthetases). tRNAs cope with the degeneracy of the genetic code in two manners: having more than one tRNA (with a specific anti-codon) for a particular amino acid; and 'wobble' base-pairing, i.e. permitting non-standard base-pairing at the 3rd anti-codon position. The record is from Rfam by way of RNAcentral. Lineage: Eukaryota; Metazoa; Chordata; Mammalia; Rodentia; Caviidae.